RNAcentral lists this transfer RNA (66 nucleotides) under Altiverruca navicula. RNAcentral describes it as "tRNA-Ala". The record is from RNAcentral. Lineage: Eukaryota; Metazoa; Arthropoda; Thecostraca; Verrucomorpha; Verrucidae.
AAAAUAGAAUUUUUUAAAAAAAUAUCUGACCUGCAAUUAGAAGAAGGUAUAUUAUACCCUAUUUUA